This 2711-nucleotide long non-coding RNA is filed under the name Macaca fascicularis (crab-eating macaque). Its description in RNAcentral is "lncRNA (ENSMFAG00000065714.1)". The record is from RNAcentral. Lineage: Eukaryota; Metazoa; Chordata; Mammalia; Primates; Cercopithecidae.
GCUGCCCUUGGCCGUGUCCACUCAGUGUCCUCACGGCACAGGUGCCCAGUAGUAUGGCUGUGACCUGUGACCAGGGGUAGCAACAUGAGACAUGGGAGAGGUAUCCCAGCCAAGAGGCCCUGCCAAGCCUCCCCAGCAAACCGGAGCAAGGCCCAGGGCGGUAGGGAGAGCGCUGUGCUCAUGCUGUAGGCAGUUCAGCUUCUGCAAACUGUCCAUUGACUGCAAAUUACUUUGUUUCCAUGGUUACAAAAGAACCAUAAGCAUUCUGAAAUAUGUUCUUGGUUUCAUGUUUGCGAAAUCUAAGCAACAUCAUAAGAAAAAUCACUGAAUUCUGUCCGAGGCUCUAGGGGUGUUUUCCUCUCUGAAAGGAGCCCCUUCCGGGACUUGGGAUUGAGUGACAGCCUUCAAUCACGGUUCUCCUGGUGGUAACAGGGAACUCCUCAGCCUGCCGGGAGCUGGGGCCCUCGACAGCCUCAUGGCUCCACACGCCAGGGUUCUAAGGAUCACACGUGUGCAGAUAGCAAAGCUUGCUGCACACACGCCAGGUGCUAACAAGCCCCAAACUUCUCACUCAUACUUGCUAACUACAUCUCUUCUCCCAGCCUCCAUGGCGUUUCACACUCUGCCUUUAUAUAGAGAUGAACCAUGCAUCCUGAGUGCUACAAAGAUUCACCUCCUUCCGGGCAGAAGGGUGCAUCUUUCCAUCACGGGGUCUUCACGCGAGCCGGCCCAGGAUUUGCAGAGUGGGACCAACUUCAAAGGCCUGCAAAGCCAGAGAAGGGAGAGGAGAUGGAACACGCCCUCACCUCAGACCUGCUGCAAGCACGUACUUCUCAGAUGCAUCCCAAGGUGCACAGCGUGUCCGAUGCCUGUUUCACAUCCAUCGACCUGCAGGUCUUCUAUGUGGCAUCAGCCUCCUGAGCACUGGAAACAAGAGGUAUAAUGGCAAGUCCCCUCUGCAGCAAAGGUGAGGAAAAGGGACCCGACGCAAUGGAACUGUCCUUUUUCUGACAGUCUCAAAACAGAAGGAAAAUACUGUACAGCCAACUUCCCCUCACGCAGGUUUAUUUACCUGUGACUCAGAGGCCAUGACAGACAACUUCAGGUUCUCACCGAUUCCUAUUUUCCCCAUCCAGGAAGCCUUUGUUUUUAAUAUCGCAUUUAACUUGCCAUUUUGUAGACCAAAAACAGCAAAUAUUGGCAGUUUCCUACAGUUCAACCGAAUAAAAUAUGAUCAUGGCCUUUUGUGAAACCAUGAAGAAAAGGUGGAUAUCUCAAUAUGUGUUUCCAGACUGGCUUUGUUCCUGAAGCACUAACUCUGUUCACUCAGGAUUUUAGACACUGAAGAAUAAACAUCAAUAUCCCACCAAGAAAACCAAAAGGAUGAAAUAAUUUCGCAUCCACCUUGGAGCCUUUUUAGGACAAGGCAGGACACAAACUUUUAAAAAGCUGCAGUUGUCCCUCUGUAUACACAGGGACAUGGAUUCCAGAACACUCCCCGAGUUUACCCAAAUCUAUGUAUCCACAGGACCCGCGGCCACCCUAUGGAACCGCAUGUAGGAAACGUCGGCCCUCCACAAAGCCAGGUUUUUUCAGUAAGGGUUGGUUGGAAAAUAAUUACCAUAAGUGAUCCUUCGAAGCUCAAAACCUAUGUUGUUCAGGGUCAGCUGCAUUUACUACUUGUGUCAUAUCUGAGGCCUGAAAGCCAUCAUUCUCGAUACCUUAACGUGAUGGUUAACAAACUAACUGUUCUGAUUAGAAAGAGGAAAAAGCUUAUUUUUAAGCUGACAAUGAGAGUGGAUGUGCUACGGUGAACGGAGAACAGACCUAAGCAAGCACCAAGGCUGGGGUGACUGCCUGUGCUCAGACGCACCAGGACGUGUUCCUCCAUCUCCCUCUGCUGAAAGGGGUAACGGCUUCUCCCCCACGAGUAAAGGGCCUUUUUUAAAUAUUCACACGAGAAGUGCUAUGAAAAGCUGAAAGGUCACAGAUAACAUUUUUAAAAAUAAACAUUAACGUAAGCAUUUAACAAGCCCAUUAUGAUUAAAAAAAAAAGGUAUUAAGUUCUUGGGUGUGGUGGCUCAUGGCUGUAAUCCCAGCAGUUUGGGUGGCCGAGGUGGGUGCAUCACCUGAGGUCAAGAGUUUAAGACCAACCUGGCCAACAUGGUGAAACCCCGUCUCUAAAGAAUAUAUGAAAAUUAGCCAGGCAUGGUGGCAGACGCCUAUAGCCCCAGUUACUUGGGAGGCUGAGGGAGGAGAAUCACUUCAACCCGGGAGGGAGAGUUUGCAAUCAGCCAAGAUCAUGUCAUUGCACUUCAGCCUGGGCAUUGAGUGUGAAACUCCAUCCCAAAAAGAAAAAAAAAAGUAUAAAGUUUUCCUUCUAAUGAACCUAUCAUUCAGCCACUGAGGUAUACUAUAGCUACUUAUUCAACCAUGAGAUACACCACAGGAGAUAUAGGCGAACAGGACACAGUUCUUCUCUGAAAGAAGGCUGCACCCUCAACAGAAGGGAGGCACACCCUCCGAAUGGAAUCGGCAUAGGGAACAGAUGCUGCUGCAGGUGGAACUGGCUGCACAGAGCACCCGCUCAAGUGUCUGAGAAACAAGGAGCCGUUGAUGCCAACACCUUCCAUACCUGAGCUGGGGUAGUGGGGAGCCUGUCAUCACCACCACCACCACCCGGACAAAGAGCCCCAGAACCACACAACGAG